AACGCGAAGAACCUUACCAGGUCUUGACAUCCUUUGACAACCCUAGAGAUAGGGCUUCUCCUUCGGGAGCAGAGUGACAGGUGGUGCAUGGUUGUCGUCAGCUCGUGUCGUGAGAUGUUGGGUUAAGUCCCGCGACGAGCGCAACCCUUGAUCUUAGUUGCCAUCAUUAAGUUGGGCACUCUAAGGUGACUGCCGGUGACAAACCGGAGGAAGGUGGGGAUGACGUCAAAUCAUCAUGCCCCUUAUGACCUGGGCUACACACGUGCUACAAUGGACGGUACAAAGAGCUGCAAGACCGCGAGGUGGAGCUAAUCUCAUAAAACCGUUCUCAGUUCGGAUUGUAGGCUGCAACUCGCCUACAUGAAGCUGGAAUCGCUAGUAAUCGCGGAUCAGCAUGCCGCGGUGAAUACGUUCCCGGGCCUUGUACACACCGCCCGUA
This 439-nucleotide ribosomal RNA is filed under the name Bacillus sp. BFC1. RNAcentral's name for it is "bacterial SSU rRNA". It matches the Rfam family "Bacterial small subunit ribosomal RNA", at positions 958 to 1398 of the family's 1533-position model. The record is from RNAcentral. Lineage: Bacteria; Bacillati; Bacillota; Bacilli; Caryophanales; Bacillaceae.